Caenorhabditis elegans is the source of this 80-nucleotide non-coding RNA. Lineage: Eukaryota; Metazoa; Nematoda; Chromadorea; Rhabditida; Rhabditidae. The record is from Ensembl.
AAAAAUGGUUUCAAAAGUGCCAAGUUUUUAAUACUCAAUUUGCAUAAUAACGACUUAUUGUACAGUUGAAGGUUGCUGAC